Molecule: ribosomal RNA, 497 nt
Filed under: uncultured bacterium
Lineage: Bacteria
Description: partial 16S ribosomal RNA
Rfam family: Bacterial small subunit ribosomal RNA
Source: RNAcentral
GAUGAACGCUGGCGGCGUGCCUAAUACAUGCAAGUCGAGCGAACGGACGAGAAGCUUGUUUCUCUGAUGUUAGCGGCGGACGGGUGAGUAACACGUGGAUAACCUACCUAUAAGACUGGGAUAACUUCGGGAAACCGUAGCUAAUACCGGAUAAUAUUUUGAACCGCAUGGUUCAAAAGUGAAAGACGGUCUUGCUGUCACUUAUAGAUGGAUCCGCGCUGCAUUAGCUAGUUGGUAAGGUAACGGCUUACCAAGGCAACGAUGCAUAGCCGACCUGAGAGGGUGAUCGGCCACACUGGAACUGAGACACGGUCCAGACUCCUACGGGAGGCAGCAGUAGGGAAUCUUCCGCAAUGGGCGAAAGCCUGACGGAGCAACGCCGCGUGAGUGAUGAAGGUCUUCGGAUCGUAAAACUCUGUUAUUAGGGAAGAACAUAUGUGUAAGUAACUGUGCACAUCUUGACGGUGCCUAAUCAGAAAGCCACGGCUAACUACGUG